AUGGACAUCAAGCUCGUCCCCAGAGACUCGGCCGGCACCAUCACCACGCUCUAUAUGCUGACAGAGGGGCCAUGGGAAGAACACGAUGAGGUCGACCUCGAAUUCCUGGGCAACAGCUCCGGCGAGCCAUACACCUUGCACACAAACAUUUACGCCAGGGGAAGAGGCGGCCGGGAGAAGCAGUACCGGCUUUGGUUUGAUCCCACUCAAGAUUUCCACACCUACUCCAUCCUCUGGAACCCAAAGGAGAUACUGAUACUUGUCGAUGGCACGCCGGUCCGGCAGAUGAAGAACCAACAAAGAAAAGAUAUCCCUUUCCCGCUGUACCAGCCAAUGAGGCUGUACAGCAGCAUCUGGAACGCCGAGGACUGGGCGACGCAGGGUGGGCGCGUCAAGACCGACUGGUCCCAGGCGCCGUUCACCUCGCUCUUCCGGAACUACAGCGCCGUUUCCUGCGUCUCGCAGAAGACCGCCUGGAUCUGUGGCCGAGGUUCCAGUGACAGCAGCUGGUUCACCCACGUCUUGGAUGAAGUGGGGCAACGGAAGCUCAUGGAGGUGGACGAGAAACACAAGAUUUAUGAUUACUGCGUUGACUCGAGGAGGUACCCUAAUGGGUAUCCCCCAGAGUGUGGGUCACAGUAG
This 642-nucleotide ribosomal RNA is filed under the name Triticum aestivum (bread wheat). RNAcentral describes it as "partial small subunit ribosomal RNA". The record is from RNAcentral. Lineage: Eukaryota; Viridiplantae; Streptophyta; Magnoliopsida; Poales; Poaceae.